GUGCACGCUGGCGGUAGGCCUAACACCUGCAAGUCGCACGGCAGCACAGGAGAGCUUGCUCUCUGGGUGGCGAGUGGCGGACGGGUGAGGAAUACAUCGGAAUCUACCUUUUCGUGGGGGAUAACGUAGGGAAACUUACGCUAAUACCGCAUACGACCUACGGGUGAAAGUGGGGGACCGCAAGGCCUCACGCGAUUAGAUGAGCCGAUGUCCGAUUAGCUAGUUGGCGGGGUAAUGGCCCACCAAGGCGACGAUCGGUAGCUGGUCUGAGAGGAUGAUCAGCCACACUGGAACUGAGACACGGUCCAGACUCCUACGGGAGGCAGCAGUGGGGAAUAUUGGACAAUGGGCGCAAGCCUGAUCCAGCCAUACCGCGUGGGUGAAGAAGGCCUUCGGGUUGUAAAGCCCUUUUGUUGGGAAAGAAAUCCUGUCGAUUAAUACUCGGUGGGGAUGACGGUACCCAAAGAAUAAGCACCGGCUAACUUCGUG
RNAcentral lists this ribosomal RNA (489 nucleotides) under uncultured bacterium. RNAcentral's name for it is "partial 16S ribosomal RNA". It matches the Rfam family "Bacterial small subunit ribosomal RNA", at positions 29 to 507 of the family's 1533-position model. The record is from RNAcentral.